This 73-nucleotide transfer RNA is filed under the name Gemmatimonadaceae bacterium. RNAcentral describes it as "tRNA-Lys". It matches the Rfam family "tRNA". From Rfam's summary of the family: Transfer RNA (tRNA) molecules are approximately 80 nucleotides in length. Their secondary structure includes four short double-helical elements and three loops (D, anti-codon, and T loops). Further hydrogen bonds mediate the characteristic L-shaped molecular structure. tRNAs have two regions of fundamental functional importance: the anti-codon, which is responsible for specific mRNA codon recognition, and the 3' end, to which the tRNAs corresponding amino acid is attached (by aminoacyl-tRNA synthetases). tRNAs cope with the degeneracy of the genetic code in two manners: having more than one tRNA (with a specific anti-codon) for a particular amino acid; and 'wobble' base-pairing, i.e. permitting non-standard base-pairing at the 3rd anti-codon position. The record is from RNAcentral. Lineage: Bacteria; Pseudomonadati; Gemmatimonadota; Gemmatimonadia; Gemmatimonadales; Gemmatimonadaceae. RNAcentral also lists the same sequence under 3 other names.
GACCCGGUAGCUCAGCUGGUAGAGCAACGGACUUUUAAUCCGUAGGUCCUGGGUUCGAGCCCCAGCCGGGUCA